RNAcentral lists this ribosomal RNA (468 nucleotides) under uncultured bacterium. Its description in RNAcentral is "partial 16S ribosomal RNA". It matches the Rfam family "Bacterial small subunit ribosomal RNA", at positions 28 to 507 of the family's 1533-position model. The record is from RNAcentral.
GACGAACGCUGGCGGCGUGCUUAACACAUGCAAGUCGAACGGUGAAGCUCCAGCUUGCUGGAGUGGAUCAGUGGCGAACGGGUGAGUAACACGUGAGCAACCUGCCCCUGACUCUGGAAUAAGCGCUGGAAACGGCGUCUAAUACUGGAUACGAGAAGGGUCCGCAUGGGCACUUUCUGGAAAGUUUUUCGGUUGGGGAUGGGCUCGCGGCCUAUCAGCUUGUUGGUGAGGUAAUGGCUCACCAAGGCGACGACGGGUAGCCGGCCUGAGAGGGCGACCGGCCACACUGGGACUGAGACACGGCCCAGACUCCUACGGGAGGCAGCAGUGGGGAAUAUUGCACAAUGGGCGAAAGCCUGAUGCAGCGACGCCGCGUGAGGGAUGACGGCCUUCGGGUUGUAAACCUCUUUCAGCAGGAAAGAAGCGAAAGUGACGGUACCUGCAGAAGAAGCACCGGCUAACUACGUG